RNAcentral lists this unclassified non-coding RNA (340 nucleotides) under soil metagenome. RNAcentral's name for it is "partial contains 5.8S ribosomal RNA, internal transcribed spacer 2, and large subunit ribosomal RNA". The stretch from base 1 to 120 matches the Rfam family "5.8S ribosomal RNA", at positions 35 to 154 of the family's 154-position model. The record is from RNAcentral.
GAUGAAGAACGCAGCGAAAUGCGAUAAGUAAUGUGAAUUGCAGAAUUCAGUGAAUCAUCGAAUCUUUGAACGCACAUUGCGCCCGCCAGCAUUCUGGCGGGCAUGCCUGUUCGAGCGUCAUUUCAACCCUCGAGCCCCCCCGGGGGCCUCGGUGUUGGGGGACGGCACACCAGCCGCCCCCGAAAUGCAGUGGCGACCUCGCCGCAGCCUCCCCUGCGUAGUAGCACACACCUCGCACCGGAGCGCGGAGACGGUCACGCCGUAAAACGCCCAACUUCUUAGAGUUGACCUCGGAUCAGGUAGGAAUACCCGCUGAACUUAAGCAUAUCAAUAAGGAGGA